Molecule: ribosomal RNA, 844 nt
Filed under: Nocardia otitidiscaviarum
Lineage: Bacteria; Bacillati; Actinomycetota; Actinomycetes; Mycobacteriales; Nocardiaceae
Description: bacterial SSU rRNA
Rfam family: Bacterial small subunit ribosomal RNA
Source: RNAcentral
GAUCUGCCUCGCACUCUGGGAUAAGCCUGGGAAACUGGGUCUAAUACCGGAUAUGACCGCGAAUCGCAUGGUUUGUGGUGGAAAGGUUUACUGGUGCGAGAUGGGCCCGCGGCCUAUCAGCUUGUUGGUGGGGUAACGGCCUACCAAGGCGACGACGGGUAGCCGGCCUGAGAGGGCGACCGGCCACACUGGGACUGAGACACGGCCCAGACUCCUACGGGAGGCAGCAGUGGGGAAUAUUGCACAAUGGGCGAAAGCCUGAUGCAGCGACGCCGCGUGAGGGAUGACGGCCUUCGGGUUGUAAACCUCUUUCGACAGGGACGAAGCGCAAGUGACGGUACCUGUAGAAGAAGCACCGGCCAACUACGUGCCAGCAGCCGCGGUAAUACGUAGGGUGCGAGCGUUGUCCGGAAUUACUGGGCGUAAAGAGCUUGUAGGCGGUCUGUCGCGUCGAUCGUGAAAACGUGCAGCUCAACUGUGCGCCUGCGGUCGAUACGGGCAGACUAGAGUACUUCAGGGGAGACUGGAAUUCCUGGUGUAGCGGUGAAAUGCGCAGAUAUCAGGAGGAACACCGGUGGCGAAGGCGGGUCUCUGGGAAGUAACUGACGCUGAGAAGCGAAAGCGUGGGUAGCGAACAGGAUUAGAUACCCUGGUAGUCCACGCCGUAAACGGUGGGUACUAGGUGUGGGUUUCCUUCCACGGGAUCCGUGCCGUAGCUAACGCAUUAAGUACCCCGCCUGGGGAGUACGGCCGCAAGGCUAAAACUCAAAGGAAUUGACGGGGGCCCGCACAAGCGGCGGAGCAUGUGGAUUAAUUCGAUGCAACGCGAAGAACCUUACCUGGG